Molecule: RNA transcript, 1864 nt
Organism: Bactrocera neohumeralis
Lineage: Eukaryota; Metazoa; Arthropoda; Insecta; Diptera; Tephritidae
Gene name: equilibrative nucleoside transporter 1-like
Exons: 14
Source: RefSeq, a predicted model, not a curated record
GAUUUCGGGGUUAAAAUGGUAUUUAAGAUGGAACCUCCAAGAGACAAAUGGAACUUCGUUUUGUUAAUUUUCGUAGUACAUGGAAUUGGAACUUUAAUGCCGUGGAACAUGUUUAUAACUGCGAAAGAAUACUUUGUCAACUAUAAGCUGGGAAAUUCAACUUAUUCAUCGGUAUAUGCUUCGAAUUUUUUGCAGUACCAUAACUUUGCAGCACAAAUUCCUAACGUGGUAUUUAAUUGGUUAAACAUUUUUGUUAAUUUAGGGGGCGAUUUAACUACCCGUAUCGUUUUCAGCAUUUUGCUAGAAUUAGCCUUAUUCAUACUAACUGUUAUUUUAGCUAUGGUGGACUCAUCAGAUUGGCCCGGAGUCUUUUUUUGGACAACUAUGAUCACAGUUGUUCUGCUAAAUAUGGCUGGAGGUAUAUAUCAAAAUACUAUAUAUGGAAUGGUUGCUACACAUCCGGUCAAAUAUACUGGUGCGGUUGUAUUAGGAUCUAAUAUAUGUGGAUUAUUUGUUUCUAUACUAAGUAUAGCAAGUACUUCCAUAUUUUCAUCAAAACGGACCGCAGCGAUUUACUAUUUUAUCACAGCAAUGGUGGUUCUACUUGCUUGUUUUGAUACAUUUUUUGCAUUGCCGUUAAAUAAAUUUUACCGUUAUAAUCAACUUUCUAGAAAGCCAGAGGAGGAAUCAGAUGAUACUAAGGUGUGCGUUGUACCAUAUUGGUUAAUUUUUAAAAAUACUUCUUUACAACUAUACAAUGUGUUUUUCACAUUCUUCGUCACUUUAUCGAUAUUUCCUUCCGUACACUCAGAUAUAAAGUUAUCGUCGUCGUCAAACUUUAUUAUUCAGUCACCGGAUAUCUUCACUUCUGUGACCUGUUUCCUUACCUUUAACCUCUUUGCAAUGUUAGGGAGUUUGACAACAUCUUGGAUACAAUGGCCUGGUCCUAAAUUUUUGGCAAUACCUGUUACGUUACGAAUUGUUUUCAUACCGAUAUUUCUAUAUUGCAACUACCAGCCUCUUAAUGUAACUAGAACACUACCGGUCUUAAUAAAAAACGAAUGGAUAUACUGGUUUAUUGCUAGUUUAAUGUCAUGGAGUUCAGGAUAUUUAAGAAAAUGUAAAGUCAUCUACCGUGGUAAAGUAUAGAGAAGGUGCAGGUUCAAUGGCGGACAUUUGUUACGAAGCAUCUCGACAAGAGAGAAUUUAUAGCUGCAUUGCCGUGCAUAUUACUUGUGGAGACUCCACAUUGCUCAUAGCGUACAUAGCGUACAUUUCUAAUUUAUAUAUAUAGAGAAGGUGCAGGUUCAAUGGCGGACAUUUGUUACGAGGCAUCUCGACAAGAGAGAAUUUAUAGCUGCAUUGCCGUGCAUAUUGCUUGUGGAGACUCCACAUUGCUCAUAGCAGAAAACGAAAGAGGUUAACAAGGAGAAAAAGAAAUCAUUUGGACCAUUGGUAAAAUUCAAAUCUAUAGCGUGCAGCAACCAAAUAAUGGAAAAAUGUAAAGUCAUCUACCGUGGUAAAGUAUAGAGAAGGUGCGGGUUCAAUGGCGGACAUUUGUUACGAGGCAUCUCGACAAGAGAGAAUUUAUAGCUGCAUUGCCGUGCAUAUUGCUUGUGGAGACUCCACAUUGCUCAUAGCAGAAAACGAAAGAGGUUAACAAGGAGAAAAAGAAAUCAUUUGGACCAUUGGUAAAAUUCAAAUCUAUAGCGUGCAGCAACCAAAUAAUGGAGUAUGUUUUAAAUUAUUAAAGUUAAAUAGUGUAUAUUUCAUUCAAAUAUUUGUUAUAGAUUGUGCAUUUUAUUUUGAUUUUGUUAUUAUUGUUAUUAAAUAAAGAGAAAAAAAAUAUUUCGCUCAUGAGUCA